Molecule: long non-coding RNA, 1556 nt
Organism: Cercocebus atys (sooty mangabey)
Lineage: Eukaryota; Metazoa; Chordata; Mammalia; Primates; Cercopithecidae
Exons: 3
Source: RefSeq, a predicted model, not a curated record
AAAAAAAAAAAAAUCAUACGAAAGCAUUUUUCAAAAAGCUCAUUUAAGGGUCAUGUAGAAGGUAAUUUUGUUUAACUAUUUGUUAUGGAUUAGGGCUUAGCUUCUUUAAAAUUGAAGGUUAACUGGUGGAUGUGAGAUAAGUAGCAAGGGAUUUCUGUUCAGUAGAAAAGAUAACCUCAAAGAUUAUGGUUUUCUUCCCCUCUGUGAUAUUAACUGUUUGGUAUCUAACUUUGAAUCUUACUCUAGUUUCCUUGAGGAGCUCAUCUCAGUUUCUUGUAUUCUCCUAUAAGCCAGCUGUAUCAUCGUGCUGCUCUCUUCAUGAAUGAGUGGGCACAGGCUCACUAUACAUUUAUAUAUGUGUGAGGUUUUGGAACUGUUUGAAAAUGAUUCCCAGAAACGAGGGAGAGUUGAUCGUUUCCUAUUUUGGUUCUGCUUUCCCUGGAAGAGGAGAGGUUCCUACCAUGGGUACUUGGCUUGAGCUGCCCUCUUGGGGCAUCUGACUUCUCAUUGGUCACCAGGAUAUCUGAGGCUUCACAUGGUCCCGGGAAGGAUGUGCCGUCAGCAGUGAGUGAUGGUUCCAAGGAUCCCCCCUGCUCUGAGGCCAAAGGACCCUCAUUCUACUUCCGGCUCCAGUCGCUGCCCUGCCUGGUCCUUGUGCUGCAGACUUUACAUUUUAUCAUUCCAGGAACUGGGCCUCACCACCGCCAACCCCUCCAUGGCACAUCUGCUUUCUGUCUGCCCAGAACAGAGUUUCUACCCAGCCGCCUGCAAAAACAUCUCAAGGCAUAGCGUGCAUUGAGGUGAGGAGGGACAGCUGGUUCUACUUGAAAUUGGGAAGUGGUCUGCCCACAGGUAAUCCCCUCCCCCACCCCUACAACUCCCUUAUCCUUUUCAAAAUAAAAAAGAAUCAUUUCAGUCUUGGGUAGAAACCCAAGGCCCUGCCAAGACAUUUGCAUUUUAAAUUCUUUCUCUGAGCAUUGUAGAAAGGAAGAAAAGAAGCUCAGAAGACAUCCAAGUCUGUUUGUUCUGGGGGACAGUGGGAGAGAAUGAAGGAGUGUGACCUUAAACUGGCUUGUUCCUUUAGAGUUUGUUCCUUUAACUGGUUUGUUCCUUUCCUUGGGAAGCUGGCUUGGCAGACCCACCUUUUACCUUUCAGAGUCCAGCGUCUCCUAAGGGUCUUCCUGACGUCCUAAGUCUCCACCCAAGUCUCUACCACAAGGUGAGGACCUGGUUGUAGGUAGACUUGGGGGUUGGCCAUUCCUAGCUGUACCUGCUCUGCUCUUUGUAACGACAGACAACAGCAGACGGCUGACCGACUGGGGACAUGCAGAUCAGCUGAUUGGACGAGGCACAGACAGGUCAGCUGACUGCGUAGGGCGCAGACAGAUCAGAUGCUUGAUGGUGCUGUGAAGAGGAGACUCCAUGGUUGUGAACCAAGGCAUGGGCAGAGAUGCACCAAAGGAUGGAAGAGGUGUGAGGGCUCUGCCCCAGAGAGAGGUCACUCCUCCCCCUCCUCCCUCACCUCCCGCAUCCUGGCCCACCUGGACUUACACAAA